RNAcentral lists this ribosomal RNA (492 nucleotides) under uncultured bacterium. Its description in RNAcentral is "partial 16S ribosomal RNA". It matches the Rfam family "Bacterial small subunit ribosomal RNA", at positions 29 to 507 of the family's 1533-position model. The record is from RNAcentral.
AGUGAACGCUGGCGGUAGGCCUAACACAUGCAAGUCGAGCGGAAGCACAGUAAGAGCUUGCUCUUGCGGGUGGCGAGUGGCGGGCGGGUGAGGAAUGCAUCGGAUUCUUAUUUUUCGUGGGGGAUAACGUAGAAAAACUUACGCUACUACCGCAUACGACCUACGGGAGAGAGCAGGGGAGCUUCACACCUUGCGCGUUAGUAUUAGCCGAUGCCGCAUUAGCUAGUUGGCGGGGUAAGGGCCCACCAAGGCGACGAUCCGUAGCUGGUCUGAGAGGAUGAUCAGCCACACUGGAACUGAGACACGGUCCAGACUCCUACGGGAGGCAGCAGUAGGGAAUAUUGGACAAUGGGCGCAAGCCUGAUCGAGCCAUGCCGCGUGAGUGAAGAAGGUCUUCGGGUUGUAAAGCCCUUUUAUUAGGGAAGAACAGCUGCAUAAUAAAAUCUCGCUGUCCUGACGGUACCUAAAGAGUAAGCACCGGCUAACUUCGUG